CAAUAGCUACUUGCAUCAUUCUAAAUAUGAUGCAAGAUCGACUAUGUCGAAUAAAAUUCUAGGUAGAAUUAUGAUAAUGACAUUGUCUGCCUAUGUGUCUUGACCAAAUUACGUGCCAGCAGUCGCGGUAAUACGUAGAAGACUAGUGUUAUUCAUGUUUAAUCGGUUUAAAGGGUACCUAGACGGUAAAUCAAGCCUAAAAGGAAAUAAAUGAAGGGACUAAUUUACUAGAGUUACUUAUGAGGGGGUAUUAAAGUACUGCUGGUGUAGAGAUGAAAUUCUGUCAUACCUCUUUUCAAUAGAAAAAUAAUGGCACAGGUAUAGGCGAAAGCAUCCCCUUAUGUGAUAACUGACGUUGAGGGACGAAGGCUUUGUGUAGCGAACAGGAUUAGAUACCCCAGUAGUCAAAGCAGAAAAUGAUGAAUGUCAUAGAUUAGAUAUAUAAGUUUAUUCUAUAAAUGAAAGUGUAAGCAUUCCACCUCAAGAGUAAUUUGGCAACAUUGGAACUGAAAUCAUUAGACCGUUUCUGAAACCAGUAGUGAAGUAUGUUGUUUAAUUUGAUGAUCCGCAAAAAACCUUACCACAAUUUGAAUAUUUAUAUCUUUUAUUGUUUUUCUUUUUAACUUUCUUCUGAUUUUCUACUUAAAAGAAAACAAUAACAAGAAAAAAGAGGCAAUAAGAU
Molecule: ribosomal RNA, 682 nt
Filed under: Flavocetraria cucullata
Lineage: Eukaryota; Fungi; Ascomycota; Lecanoromycetes; Lecanorales; Parmeliaceae
Description: SSU rRNA
Rfam family: Bacterial small subunit ribosomal RNA
Source: RNAcentral